CCAAACCCAAUAAUCCUAUCCUCUUCUCUUCCUCAUUCAUGUGUGAGAACUGAGAACACACACACCUUUCCUCUCUUUUGUUUCCACGACAAGCACAACUCACCACCAACCCUUUUUCUGCGAAAUUCCCCCAAAUCCGCCGGAUUUCAAGCUUAUCCAGCUCCCUUAAAUCAAUCUGAGAACAGGUAACCCCAUCCCUUUGUGAAAUUUUGAAUUUAAACAACAUCUUGGAGAAGAUUUUCCUCUCUCAAACGGCUAUUUUGAAAUUCAAGAACUAUUUUCGGCUAUUCCAUUGAAAAAGCGGGGAAUUGGGAGAGAAGUUGAGAAAUUUCUGACUUCGUUACUUUCUUUGCUCUUUUUUGCUCUUUUCCGGCUUUUGAGACACUCCCGAAUUUUUGUUGUGUUUUUUAAUUAAUCACACUCGUAAUCGCUGUGGAAGUUCAUUUUCAACGACUAGUAAUCCCAUUUCCUGCUCCAAAGAAGUCCGCUGAACUCUUGGCCUUUCUUCGCAUUUUGUUGGUUCAAUAUGUCAUUCAAGCAUCGAGUCAUCCCCUUUCUCUCCAAAAAGCCAAAAUGAGAGCUUUGGUUAAAGCCUCGACAAUCACCGGGCGGCAGCAAUAGUAGCUCGAAAGAGCAGGAAUUGGGUCUAGUGGUCUAACUCUCAACUCCUCUUAUUUGUGUGCUAGUGUAUAUUGUAUUAUGAAUUUGUGUUAAAGCGACUAACGCUUUUACUCCUGUUUUCUUUGCUCAACUUAGAUGAAUCCCCAAAGGAAUCGAUUUAACAUCUAAUGAUUUUCUUAA
Solanum dulcamara is the source of this 801-nucleotide long non-coding RNA. RefSeq lists it as uncharacterized. The transcript is spliced from 2 exons. NCBI's taxonomy places the organism in Eukaryota, Viridiplantae, Streptophyta, Magnoliopsida, Solanales, Solanaceae. The record is from RefSeq and is a predicted model, not a curated record.